RNAcentral lists this ribosomal RNA (688 nucleotides) under uncultured bacterium. RNAcentral's name for it is "bacterial SSU rRNA". It matches the Rfam family "Bacterial small subunit ribosomal RNA", at positions 111 to 776 of the family's 1533-position model. The record is from RNAcentral.
UAACGCGUAGGCAACCUACCCUUUAGACGGGGACAACAUUCCGAAAGGAGUGCUAAUACCGGAUGUGAUCAUCGUGCCGCAUGGCAGGAUGAAGAAAGAUGGCCUCUACAAGUAAGCUAUCGCUAAAGGAUGGGCCUGCGUCUGAUUAGCUAGUUGGUAGUGUAACGGACUACCAAGGCGAUGAUCAGUAGCCGGUCUGAGAGGAUGAACGGCCACAUUGGGACUGAGACACGGCCCAAACUCCUACGGGAGGCAGCAGUGGGGAAUCUUCCGCAAUGGACGAAAGUCUGACGGAGCAACGCCGCGUGAGUGAUGAAGGAUUUCGGUCUGUAAAGCUCUGUUGUUUAUGACGAACGUGCAGUGUGUGAACAAUGCAUUGCAAUGACGGUAGUAAACGAGGAAGCCACGGCUAACUACGUGCCAGCAGCCGCGGUAAUACGUAGGUGGCGAGCGUUGUCCGGAAUUAUUGGGCGUAAAGAGCAUGUAGGCGGCUUAAUAAGUCGAGCGUGAAAAUGCGGGGCUCAACCCCGUAUGGCGCUGGAAACUGUUAGGCUUGAGUGCAGGAGAGGAAAGGGGAAUUCCCAGUGUAGCGGUGAAAUGCGUAGAUAUUGGGAGGAACACCAGUGGCGAAGGCGCCUUUCUGGACUGUGUCUGACGCUGAGAUGCGAAAGCCAGGGUAGCGAACGGG